This is a transfer RNA of Felis catus (domestic cat), 73 nucleotides long. It matches the Rfam family "tRNA". From Rfam's summary of the family: Transfer RNA (tRNA) molecules are approximately 80 nucleotides in length. Their secondary structure includes four short double-helical elements and three loops (D, anti-codon, and T loops). NCBI's taxonomy places the organism in Eukaryota, Metazoa, Chordata, Mammalia, Carnivora, Felidae. The record is from Rfam.
AUCUGGCUGGCUCAGUUGGUAGAGCAUGUGACUGUUGAUUCCAGGGUCCUGGGUUCAAAACCCAUGUUGGGUG